This 684-nucleotide ribosomal RNA is filed under the name Staphylococcus aureus. Its description in RNAcentral is "partial 23S ribosomal RNA". It matches the Rfam family "Bacterial large subunit ribosomal RNA", at positions 1 to 682 of the family's 2925-position model. Lineage: Bacteria; Bacillati; Bacillota; Bacilli; Caryophanales; Staphylococcaceae. The record is from RNAcentral.
GAUUAAGUUAUUAAGGGCGCACGGUGGAUGCCUUGGCACUAGAAGCCGAUGAAGGACGUUACUAACGACGAUAUGCUUUGGGGAGCUGUAAGUAAGCUUUGAUCCAGAGAUUUCCGAAUGGGGAAACCCAGCAUGAGUUAUGUCAUGUUAUCGAUAUGUGAAUACAUAGCAUAUUAGAAGGCACACCCGGAGAACUGAAACAUCUUAGUACCCGGAGGAAGAGAAAGAAAAUUCGAUUCCCUUAGUAGCGGCGAGCGAAACGGGAAGAGCCCAAACCAACAAGCUUGCUUGUUGGGGUUGUAGGACACUCUAUACGGAGUUACAAAGGACGACAUUAGACGAAUCAUCUGGAAAGAUGAAUCAAAGAAGGUAAUAAUCCUGUAGUCGAAAAUGUUGUCUCUCUUGAGUGGAUCCUGAGUACGACGGAGCACGUGAAAUUCCGUCGGAAUCUGGGAGGACCAUCUCCUAAGGCUAAAUACUCUCUAGUGACCGAUAGUGAACCAGUACCGUGAGGGAAAGGUGAAAAGCACCCCGGAAGGGGAGUGAAAUAGAACCUGAAACCGUGUGCUUACAAGUAGUCAGAGCCCGUUAAUGGGUGAUGGCGUGCCUUUUGUAGAAUGAACCGGCGAGUUACGAUUUGAUGCAAGGUUAAGCAGUAAAUGUGGAGCCGUAGCGAAAGCGAGU